GGCUAAAGCGUACGCACACAUACACGCACGCACACGCACACAUACACGCACACACAGGCGCAGAGUCUGUCUCAUGCGCUGAGGAAAAGGGAGGCGGGCAAGAGCCCUUGCAUUCAAGCAACAGCAGCAGUCCUGCAGGACAUCUCUCGCGCGUAGCUUCUCUCAUUUCCUUCCGCACUGUGCGAGCAUACCCGUCAGUGCCUCCUUCCUCCCUAUCUACGUCUCUCUCUUCGUGUGUGUGUGUGUGUGUACUGGUGCCUCCCUCCCUACCCCUUCUCCCCCCCAAAAAACGCCUUUGCUGAGCUUCGGGCACGAGUCGGGACAUCUGCGCGCGCGGCACCGCCGCCGAAGGUCCUCCGGCACACCUCUUCGAUACUUCCUCUCACCCUCUUUUCCCUUUCUGUGUGUGUGUAUCAUUGGUGUGUGCGUGUGCGUGUGUCGUUGACAUCCGCCGUUACAACGCGCUCGCUCUCGCCCACACGCCCGCACGCACGCUUUUCGGAGAAAGCGCUGGAAAUGCCGGACACGCAUGGCGCUGUGAACCCGAAGGCGCUUUCACGGUUGGAUGCCCUUCCAGGCUCACUCGGCAAGGUGUCGCUGUGCGCGGCCGUCAUGCUCGGCAUCACCACCUACGCCAACGUACGGAAAUGGCUGGCACAGCGUGCCGCCGCCUCCGCGGCGGCGGAAGACGAGGCAGCGAUCUCCAAGUGGGGGCAGCGAAAGGGCGCGCCGAGGGAGGCAGCGUCGAGCAGUAAGGCAAAGGGAGCGGGUUCGUCCUCCGCUGGUGGCCGCACGAGUGCUGGUGGUGGUGGUGCUGGCAAUGACAGCGAGAUGGUGGUAGCGGGCAGCAGCGGCAGCGCUGGUGGGGUGGCAGCGACGGGGACGCGAACCCCCCCGGAGCGGCCUCAGCUGCCACCGCGAAACUACUUCACUGCUCGCGCCUCCAUGCACGUGAAGCGGCACAAUGCGAAGCUGAUGGAGUGGUACGACGCCCAGCUCGGCAUUCAGCUGCCCUUCUCCCCCGUCUUCGAGUUGAAGCAAGAGGAGCGGCAGGCGCCGCUGAUCCUGCUAACCUUCCGCACGGUGCGGGAGCCAACGCACCGCAUGGCGGUCACUAUCGAGGAGCUCUACGAGCCACAGACAGCGGCGGCGUAUAGAGAGGCUAGUCUCGGCCGGAUUGCCGACUGCGCCAAGAUUGUAGGACAAUCGACCGCGCGCAUUGGUAGCAAGGAUCACCCAGCAGCGGAGUACUGCUACGUCGAUGACCACCAGGUCAUGAACUGUGUCUUCUCCAUCUUCGUAGUACACGAGCGGCUCGCGGUGACGGUGCAGUACGUGGCCCCGACGCGCGUGCGCAGCGUGAUGCCGACAGCCGUCUACGACAUUGUGCGCUUCCUCGCCUUUGCCACGCCGUCUCCGUCGCCGUCGUACCUUCUCGUGUCUGAACCGCGGCUAGGCCUGGGGUACCACCUGCCCCUGGACUUCCUUGUCCACGAGGGCCUUGCGGAGAGCGACGGCGUCGAGGACCGCCUUUUCACCUCCUCUAUGACUGCCGGUGGUGGCGGGCUCCUGUCAACCUUUUCCGGCGGCAUCAAUGCACCCCAGCCGUACACACGAGGUACUGCAGGUGCGGACGGGGCCGCGUAUCCGCCCUACUGCCGUCCCUCCUACUACUACGUUGGCCACGGUGGCGGCGGCUGCGAUGAAGGCGCGUGGAUGGUGCCAUACGCAACGGCGAUGAGUCGUGGAGGUCGUCGCAUGGGACUCAUUGCUUCGUACGAGCCAGCGGGUGUCUCCACGGCGACGGGCACCCUCGACGGCGGCGGCGCGGCAGGUGCGACGGGUGGCAGCGGGGUCCCGUAUGCAUGGCAAACGUACCUCGAACAGCAGGUGUGCAAGGCUGUGCGCCAGUUGGGCCUCGUGCUCGGCAGCAGCGAUGACAACCGUGCACCGCACGUCGUCUUUCAGGCCCCCAACGCCGCGCACCCGCCUUCGCGCCAGACGUUGCUGGUAGAGCCGUACCCGCUGUCGAUCGCGCUCAAGGGGAACUUCAGCGCUGGUGACGACGCCCGCGAGGAGGACAGCGACGCAGUGGCGCUCGUCACCGCCUUCUCCCUCUUCCGCGAAGUGCGCGUGGACGUUAACAGUGCCUAUCUGACCCUCGUCCCGGACGCAUUAGAGAGCGCUGCUGCUGCGGCGGCCGCUGCUCGCUCGCGGUCUUCCACGGGGGUGGCUGACUUGACUGCUGGCACGGUCAAGGCGUACUGGAGCGCCUUCUACGUGCCCGUCGGCACGGCAUGCGUGAGUUUCCAUUUCAUUGCCUCGGCGCUGCGGCACACCUCCACGGAGUUUGUUUCGUUUUGCGCCACCGUCAUGAACUCUGUGUCGCUCGGCAACCACUACGGCCAGAGCGUGUCGGUGCUGUACUGCAAUAUCCGGCAUGACGUGCUGCCCUUCCGUCUGUCGCUGCCGCCGACUGGGAUGGCGACUGUCGAGGAGCCCAUGCUGGCUGAUCCGCUCUGUGUGGUGCAGGCCACGUACGGGGUGGAGAAGGUCGGCGUGACAGUGCGCGUCUUUCCGCUCUUCACGUCUACCACGUCACCGGUAGAGGACGGCAGCAGUGGCGGCGGUGGUACUGGCUUUGCUGCGGCCACGGCAACGACGGACGGCCGGCCUCCAACGCCGUCCAAGGCGCUCCCGCCGCGCCCCAUUGCAGAGCGCCGAGGUACUCGUCAGCGCUCCAUCUUCCGACAACUGCAGCACAUGAUCCGCUACUACCUUGCUCAGUUCCCUGGCGGCGUGCACAUUGUGUCACAGGAGCGCACUACGAUGAACGCGAUGCCGGCCGUCCGUGUGUGCUUCAAGCCUCUGUGGUACGCGGGGGACAUUGGGGACGGAGGCGCGCAACGCAUCGGCGGGGGUAGCGGCAGCGCCGUGCCACCGGCGCCCUCUGUGACCAGCUGGGACGAGGGUUGUGGCGUUGGUGGUGGCGGUGGCAGCUCGCAGGUCACGUCCGACUGGGUAGGUGCCCGGGAUGCCCUGUUGGAGGAGGAGAUUGGUCAGCUGAACCCCUUCGCGCAGUACUUCCCACCUCCACCCCCGCCAGCGAGCUACCUCUGGGGCCAGCAACAGCAGCCACAACCCACGCCUGCGUCCUCCGGCACGACCGGAAAGGCGAGCACUCCAGUGACAGCUGCGUCGUUGCGGAAGGCCGCUGCCGCCGCUGCCGCCGGUGCUGCGGCGAGUGGUGGUGCCGAGGCAAGCACGAGGGGCGAUCAGGAGAGUCAGCCCUUCUACGGACCGCGUGGUGACGAGUCUCAGCGCUCGCAAGAGGAGCUGGACGACCCACUGCGCGUCGCCAUCGUCGUCUGCUGCGAGGGCAAUGCCUUCCUCUUCCAGGCUUCUGCCUCCGAGUACACGCUGGGCAUGUCAGUGCAGGCGGUUCAAACGCUUGCGAUGUACUUGGCACCCAUUCCGCGCGGCAACUGAAGCGUUGAAGAGGGGGGGCAAGGGGGAGGGGGAGUGGACGCCAUGGGGAUUGACGCGAUGCGCGAUGCGCGUGGCGGUGGUCGCUGUGGAGGUGGGCAAGGGAGGAGAGGGAGGACGUGGCACGACCACGGCGCACCUCGCCGCUGCUCUCCUUGCUUCACAGUGGACACGUGGCACCGAUGUAUUUCUCCCCCUCCCCCCACGAGCCUUUCCGUCGCGGUUCUCCACCCAUUUGACUCUCUGUCCGAUGUGCGCCGAUGUCGUGUGCUUCUUCCUUGAUAUUCUCGAUUCUCGUAGUGCCGAAGGUCUUGGGCGCUCGCGCGUAUUGCCUUUGAGCAGCUCUCCUCGCCCCCCCCUCCCCCCACUUGUUUGUUCUUUGCGGUUGUUGCUGCGCAUCGGUGCAUGAGAAUGCACAUGCGUCCGAGAUGGCGCACCCACGCGCACCUCGCUCGCUCGGGUUCUGAUUCUUCACGUGCGUGUGCUUGCGUGCAGCAGGACGGAUGAUGGUGAUGGUGAUGAGGUGCGUACAAUCCCGAACUUCG
RNAcentral lists this unclassified non-coding RNA (4031 nucleotides) under Leishmania donovani. Its description in RNAcentral is "gene:LdHU3.06.0300(CDS-product:hypothetical_prote in_conserved)". Lineage: Eukaryota; Euglenozoa; Kinetoplastea; Trypanosomatida; Trypanosomatidae. The record is from RNAcentral.